UGGGGAAUAUUGCGCAAUGGGGGAAACCCUGACGCAGCGACGCCGUGUGAGGGAAGAAGGCCUUCGGGUCGUAAACCUCUGUCGGGAGGGAAGAACCGCCGGUUUCCGAACAGGGAGCCGGUCUGACGGUACCUCCGAAGGAAGCGCCGGCUAACUCCGUGCCAGCAGCCGCGGUAAUACGGAGGGCGCGAGCGUUAAUCGGAAUCACUGGGCGUAAAGCGCGCGUAGGCGGCUUGAUAAGUCGGGCGUGAAAGCCCUCGGCCCAACCGAGGAACUGCGUUCGAUACUGUUAGGCUUGAGUCCUGGAGAGGGUGGCGGAAUUCCGGGUGUAGGAGUGAAAUCCGUAGAUAUCCGGAGGAACACCGGUGGCGAAGGCGGCCACCUGGACAGGUACUGACGCUGAGGUGCGAAAGCGUGGGGAGCAAACAG
This 429-nucleotide ribosomal RNA is filed under the name uncultured bacterium. Its description in RNAcentral is "bacterial SSU rRNA". It matches the Rfam family "Bacterial small subunit ribosomal RNA", at positions 355 to 775 of the family's 1533-position model. The record is from RNAcentral.